GGAGAGAUGUCCGAGUUGGCUUAAGGAGCACGCCUGGAAAGCGUGUGUUACGUCACAAGCGUACCGGGGGUUCGAAUCCCCCUCUCUCCG
Molecule: transfer RNA, 90 nt
Filed under: Alkalibaculum bacchi
Lineage: Bacteria; Bacillati; Bacillota; Clostridia; Eubacteriales; Eubacteriaceae
Rfam family: tRNA
About the family: Transfer RNA (tRNA) molecules are approximately 80 nucleotides in length. Their secondary structure includes four short double-helical elements and three loops (D, anti-codon, and T loops).
Source: Rfam by way of RNAcentral